RNAcentral lists this ribosomal RNA (274 nucleotides) under uncultured bacterium. RNAcentral describes it as "partial 16S ribosomal RNA". It matches the Rfam family "Bacterial small subunit ribosomal RNA", at positions 523 to 796 of the family's 1533-position model. The record is from RNAcentral.
AUACGAAAGGUGCAGGCGUUGUUCGGAUUUACUGGGCGUAAAGAGAGUGUAGGUGGUUUAUUAAGUCGGAUGUGAAAUCCCGGGGCUCAACCUCGGAACUGCAUUCGAUACUGAUAGGCUAGAGUUUGGGAGGGGUAAGCGGAAUUCCGUGUGUAGCAGUGAAAUGCGUAGAUAUACGGAGGAACACCUGAGGCGAAGGCGGCUUACUGGACCAAUACUGACACUGAGACUCGAAAGCGUGGGUAGCAAACAGGAUUAGAUACCCUAGUAGUCC